Molecule: long non-coding RNA, 630 nt
Organism: Eubalaena glacialis (North Atlantic right whale)
Lineage: Eukaryota; Metazoa; Chordata; Mammalia; Artiodactyla; Balaenidae
Exons: 3
Source: RefSeq, a predicted model, not a curated record
GGUUUGGGGGAUCCCCUGCUAAUUGGGUGUCCAGAUUGCCUGGUCUGGUUACCUGGGGUAGAAGCCCCGCCCCUUGGGGGUAUAGUAGUAGAGAGCCGGGAGUGUAGGGGAGAGUGUCUUCCUGCGCUGGUGGUCCUUGGAGAAGAGGAUCCCUACCCCGAAUGUGAGGCCAAUGAGAAUUGUCUCUAGAAUGCAGCAAACCAUGAGGUGGCAGUUCCAAGUUCACUGAAGCAAUGAGCAAUUUUCUCAGCAUCUUCUUCUACCAGGACCUGCUUCUACCACAGAACCUACUUCUACCAGGAGUAGAAUCCAUCUCAAGAAACCACUUUCUUGGAGAAGUUCCCUGGAGGCCUAGUGUUUAGGAUUCAGUGCUUUCACUGCGGAGGCCCGGAUUUGACCCCUGGUCAGAGAACCAUUACACAUGCUGCACAGAGUGGCCAAAAUACAAAAAAAAAAAAAAAAAAAAAAAAGAAACCACUUUCUUUGCUCAUCCAUAAGAAGCAACUCCUCAUCUGUUCAAGUUUUUUUUCAUGAGAUUGCAACAAUUCAGUCACAUCUUCAGGCUCUAAUUCUAAUCCUAGUUCUCUUACUAUUUUCACCACAUCUGCAGUUACUUUCUGCACUGAAGUC